RNAcentral lists this ribosomal RNA (262 nucleotides) under Duganella vulcania. RNAcentral describes it as "partial 16S ribosomal RNA". It matches the Rfam family "Bacterial small subunit ribosomal RNA", at positions 891 to 1157 of the family's 1533-position model. The record is from RNAcentral. Lineage: Bacteria; Pseudomonadati; Pseudomonadota; Betaproteobacteria; Burkholderiales; Oxalobacteraceae.
AGAUUAAAACUCAAAGGAAUUGACGGGGACCCGCACAAGCGGUGGAUGAUGUGGAUUAAUUCGAUGCAACGCGAAAAACCUUACCUACCCUUGACAUGGCUGGAAUCCCCGAGAGAUUGGGGAGUGCCCGAAAGGGAACCAGUACACAGGUGCUGCAUGGCUGUCGUCAGCUCGUGUCGUGAGAUGUUGGGUUAAGUCCCGCAACGAGCGCAACCCUUGUCAUUAGUUGCUACGAAAGGGCACUCUAAUGAGACUGCCGGUG